GAAAUGCGAUAAGUAAUGUGAAUUGCAGAAUUCAGUGAUUCAUCGAAUCUUUGAACGCACAUUGCGCCCGCCAGUAUUCUGGCGGGCAUGCCUGUUCGAGCGUCAUUACAACCCUCAGGCCCCCGGGCCUGGCGUUGGGGAUCGGCGGAAGCCCCCUGCGGGCACAACGCCGUCCCCCAAAUACAGUGGCGGUCCCGCCGCAGCUUCCAUUGCGUAGUAGCUAACACCUCGCAACUGGAGAGCGGCGCGGCCACGCCGUAAAACACCCAACUUCUGAAUGUUGACCUCGAAUCAGGUAGGAAUACCCGCUGAACUUAAGC
This 320-nucleotide unclassified non-coding RNA is filed under the name plant metagenome. RNAcentral describes it as "partial contains 5.8S ribosomal RNA, internal transcribed spacer 2, and large subunit ribosomal RNA". The stretch from base 1 to 105 matches the Rfam family "5.8S ribosomal RNA", at positions 50 to 154 of the family's 154-position model. The record is from RNAcentral.